RNAcentral lists this ribosomal RNA (253 nucleotides) under uncultured bacterium. Its description in RNAcentral is "partial 16S ribosomal RNA". It matches the Rfam family "Bacterial small subunit ribosomal RNA", at positions 524 to 776 of the family's 1533-position model. The record is from RNAcentral.
UACGAAGGGGGCUAGCGUUGUUCGGAAUUACUGGGCGUAAAGGGCGCGUAGGCGGCCCCGUGCGUCGAGCGUGAAAGGCCUGGGCUCAACCCAGGAAUGGCGCUCGAUACGGCGAGGCUAGAGUGCAGAAGAGGAUGGUGGAAUUCCCAGUGUAGAGGUGAAAUUCGUAGAUAUUGGGAAGAACACCGGUGGCGAAGGCGGCCAUCUGGACUGCAACUGACGCUGAGGCGCGAAAGCGUGGGGAGCAAACAGG